UAGUGUAUGUUAAUAAUUAAAAUGGCGAUUUGAGAAUCAUAUUCUUGAGUGUUAUUAUAUUAUUUGCGUAAAAUAUUGAUAGAAGACUUCAAAUAGUCGUUUUUAUACAGCAGUGUUGAAUAUUUAGUUGAGUUUACCAUGCGUUCAGUAGUAGAAAUUGGGGCCAGUGUGCCUGCGUUUCUAGGAAAAUUAUGGAAACUGGUCAACGAUACAGAGACCAAUCAUCUGAUUUCCUGGAGCCCUGGCGGGAAAACAUUUGUCAUAAAAAACCAGGCAGACUUUGCAAGGGAACUCUUACCUUUAUAUUACAAACAUAACAAUAUGGCAAGCUUCAUUAGGCAGUUGAAUAUGUAUGGAUUUCAUAAGAUUACUUCUGUGGAAAAUGGUGGCUUACGAUAUGAAAAGGAUGAAAUAGAAUUCUCACACCCUUGCUUCAUGAAAGGACAUGCAUAUCUUUUAGAACACAUUAAAAGAAAGAUUGCCAACCCAAAGUCAAUAGUAACUAGCAAUGAAAGCGGAGAGAAAGUACUUCUGAAACCAGAGCUGAUGAACAAAGUGCUGUCUGACGUGAAACAAAUGAAAGGCAAGCAGGAGAGUCUGGAUGCCAAGUUCAGUGCCAUGAAACAGGAAAAUGAAGCUUUGUGGAGAGAAGUUGCUAUUCUGAGACAGAAGCACAUAAAACAACAGCAAAUUGUUAACAAUCUUAUUCAAUUCCUUAUGUCACUGGUUCAACCGACUAGGCCACCCAAUGCAACUGGAAACAAUGUGGGAGUAAAGAGACCAUACCAAUUGAUGAUCAACAGUGCAGCACACAAUUCUGGUACAGACGGAUCUUACCCUGGCAGAUCAAAGAACAUGAAAUUAGACAGAGAUAAUUUAUUGGAUGAGUUAAAUGAGGAUAAUUUGGAGGAUGGACCUACCAUUCAUGAGCUGGCACAUGAUGAUAUCAUGCACAAUGAAAACACUCAGGACUCCAUGCCUGGAAACGAUUUCAUUACAGUGGAUAUACCUAACAUGACAAAUGCUACCACUAGCCAUAGCCCAAAUGACCCCUCUGCCUCCAUAUACCAUGUCACAAUGGAAGAUGGGGAUGAUGCUGAAACAGGUGCAAACCGAUUGGUAUAUCCAGUAGCACGUACCAAUGGUAUGAAUAGGACACCAGAAAGCAUGCCGAUCAUUACAUCAGCAUCUCCAACACCACUCGCAACUUCUUCAAUGGACCAGAAUGGAUUAGAUCAGGUUGUAAACAAUGUGAUGGGCUCACCGUCACCAAUCGUUGUAAAAGUUGAGGGACACGUGCCAACUAAGACGAAAGGUCGUACCAAUCCCGCAAACAAGAGUACUGUUACAUCUGCAGGCAAAAGUCUAUCAUCAGGAAACUACAACACACUAAACCCAUCAGCUGACUUGAAACUGCCAGCAGAAAUCUUUGCCAGUGAUGAUUCAGUCAGCGAUGCUGGAGUAGCGGCUGCUGAUGACCUUACCAUGCAAAAUGCACUACAAGAUUUAGUUGAUGAGUCCCUACUAUCAACAUCAAAAGAUAAAAUGCUUGGUGGUAUCAAUAUUAAAGUAGAAAGGCUAGGAGAACCAUUAAAAGCUAAUAGGAAAUCUAAGAAAGGUAACAAAAGUACUGAAAACACCUUGAAUUUGGCUGAUAUUAAAACGGAAUUCCAGGAUGACUUUGAUUGGAACAAUAUGACUCUAGCAACUGUCAACAACAAUACUAAUAGGUUCCAGACAAGGAAUAGGAGAGAUAACCUCAGCAAAAAUCGGGAGGAAUAUUCUUCCCUCUUUGGAACAAAUUCAAACAAGAAUGAUAUUGAUGACCAUUUGGAUGCGAUGCAAACAGACCUUGAAUCGCUAAGAGACCUGCUACGAAGUGACAGCUACGCAUUUGACACCAAUACGUUGUUGGGGCUAUUUGGGUCUGAUGACCCCUUCUACGGCCUGCCCUAUAACUCGAUGGAAGACAGGGCAAAAUCUGCUAAUAAUGGUGAGUUUCGUUCUUUAAUUUUUUGACUGAUUUUUUUCACAAAAAAUGCCUGCUAACAUUCAAACGAAGCAGUUUCCAAUGUCUAAAUACUUCGUCAUUCUAACAUUGAGAAGCAUUAAUUGCAUUGGGCAACACCAGGGUUGCUAAAUCGCUCAUAAUAACACAUAAUAUUUGCACUAGCAAAUAAAACCAGGUAAUUAUUUCACUUACUCAAACACAUUGUACACCAAUAGAGCUUGUAGGAAUUGAGUGAUUUGGGCACGAUUGCAAUUCAAAUAAGCUUAUGUCCAAGGUGUAUGCCAGUCUUGUUUGAUGAUUAUGUAUGACAGAGUAUAUACCUUACCUACAACAUCACUCCAACCAAAAUGCACACGCACGACUUCCAUCAACAAAUCAUUGCGAUCUCAAAGGCUAGAACAUAUCUGCAUGUGUUUUCAGAGUUAUAUUUCACGUUUAUGUUAAUUGUAGAUACAACCAAACAGUAUCCGAUGAUUGAUUUUGAUUGGCUGAUCGGUAACAGCGAGGCCUCCUCUACAAAGUAGCCUGUUGCUACAUCAACUUGCAAGUUUUCAACGCUGACCGCGUCUCAGCCACGUGACGUGGUGGAUAUUUUUGGUAAAGGGUUAAUAUAGCCGUGGUGUUCUGGUCAGUGCUACGGACGAUAGGUAGACUGUCGCGACAAAAGUGACUCGAUUAGGGGUUCGCUCUCGAUUGACUCAAUUCGUCUCAAAAACGCAAUUUGUGCAGAACAGUGUAAAUUUCAUAUCAAUUUAUAUCAAAAAUUUUAUAUUAUAUGUAUGUAAAUAUUGUUAUCACAACUUUAAGAAGAUAGUAGUUGGGGAGAGUUAAGGCUCAACAGUUUACUGUGAGUUAUUGGGAAUAGACUAACGCACAAUGCCACAAAGUGGAUUAAUAUUUAAGAUUAUCAUUUUUGCCGCGACAUACAGACAAUUCCUUCUGUGAGCAUUAAGUGUAUGCCUAAGUUAUCUUGUUAAAAUAAGACAGUUUAAAUCUAUAAAUGUUAUAUUGUUAACCGUAAUUAUAUUUUAUUGUUAAUUAAAGCAAAGAAGCAGAAAGGUGAGAUUUCGAAUGUAAGCAGUGACGACACUCGCGUCCAGAACCUGUUUACUGAGGAUAAUGGUAGUAAUUCAGCUCUCGCAUUCUUAUUGCAAAUGUAGAAUUAUAAAAAUAUAAUUUUGCACGAUUUAACUGUAGACAUUGAUUUACACUCUGAAAUUUUUUAAACUGGAACCGAUGAUCCAAACUUUAGUGUCCUGCUUAUGUUUAAGUACAUGUUAGUGCUUAUUUUUUUUCAGAGGCAAUUAUGUUUUAAGUUAUACUUCAUCAUCGGUUUCUGAAAUUUACGUUAGUAUUAUAUUGUUUAUGUUAUCUGAGAAAGCGUACUGCAUUAUAUUUACUUCAAUUAUUUUUAAAUGCUACGCGCUGAUAGUACCAUUACUCUGCAGCUGCAUUUCAUAGCGUUUAACUUUAUGUUCAUUUUGUUUAUAAACUUUGGGCGUGGGUUGUAUGUAUAUCGUACGUAGUGAUCUAGCAUAAGUUCGAUGUUAUGUUAUAGGUAUGAUAUUGCUCUCAAACAUAUACCUAUUUAGUAUUAAGGAUUGACAAAUAUAUUUUUAUGUACUAUUUAGUUAUUGAUUGCUUUUAAAGUAUUCGCAUGGUUGAUUAUGACAUUGUUAUACCUAUAAAAAGUUUACCAUUAUUGUUAUAUGCUAUAGAUAACGUAGAUCCUCUAGUAUUUUUAGGAGACCUAUCUAUAAUUCAAUGUUAGUAUGUAGUUAACUGCAGUCGGUUUAUAAGUUCAUAUUUAAAAAAUAUUAAUAAUAUUUUUUUGGGCAACUUUCAGUUGAAGGGAAUCAGCUAAUCUCGUAUACAGGGAAUAUUCCAGACUUUGAGGAUAUAAACAUGCCAGAUCUGGAGUGCGAUAAUUCUCAGGAGCCUUGCGUGUUACCCAGCCCCAGCAGCUCGACGCUAAACACGCCGCAGAUGCAGAUACGAUCGCCCUCCUUUACUUUGAAACCAUGAGGAAAGCCUAAAAAACGGCGACACAAGAAGAAACGUUCGUCCAAACAGUGAAAUUCUUAAUAUUUCACUUUAGUUAAACUUGUGUGUGACUGACUUUUAUAACUGAUUAGUGUAGUCUAUACAUGUAGCCGAGAAAGAAAAACAAAAAUAAAAUAUACAAUUAGAUUUAGGGGCCGUCAUCACAAGUUUUUAUUGGUUUGCUAUUUAGACGAACUGAUUCAGUGAAAAUAUUUUUACUAUGUAAACUUUUCAAGAAAGACCAUAAAUAAGUUUAUAGUUAUCUGCUUGGACACUGUUUUCCAUAAACAGAGCAUGAUUUAUAAUCUUGUUUCUCUAAAUAGAUUAACGUUUGCUUUGAUCAAUAACUUACAAAAUUUAACCAAAAAAGAUAGGUAUAAGUUGUUACAAGGAAUAUUGUAUUGAUUUGUAAAAUAAUGCAGCAAGAAAAGCUUUAUCUAACAUAUAUUAAUACUUUGCAUCAAAAAUAUUGAUUCGCACAUUCAACCUCAAAAUUUACUGUACGAAAUCUACAAAAUAGUCUGAUGAUGGGUAUUUAUUAACUUUAAAUUAUAAUAUUCUAGUUGCCUGAAUAUAAUCUCGUAUAUUGAACAAAAACUUGAUCCAAAUAUAAGUUUUUAUAUAAUAUGGAUUUUGUAAAAUAUUAGGAUAGUAAUAUGUAUUUAUAUCUCAUGACUGAGGUUCAUUGCACAGUUCGAAUAUAAGUGCUUCUAAACAUAAUAAUUACAAGUGUAAAUGGAACUUAUCCCCACAAAAAUUAGUAAUA
RNA transcript from Helicoverpa zea (corn earworm), 4820 nucleotides. It is a transcript of the gene named heat shock factor protein, with no coding region annotated. The record is from RefSeq and is a predicted model, not a curated record. Lineage: Eukaryota; Metazoa; Arthropoda; Insecta; Lepidoptera; Noctuidae. The transcript has 9 exons.